Long non-coding RNA from Nerophis ophidion (straightnose pipefish), 407 nucleotides. RefSeq lists it as uncharacterized. NCBI's taxonomy places the organism in Eukaryota, Metazoa, Chordata, Actinopteri, Syngnathiformes, Syngnathidae. The transcript has 3 exons. The record is from RefSeq and is a predicted model, not a curated record.
AAGGUUUCCCGAAGUUCAGGACUCGACUGGGCAACUUUUGUGGCGAAAUGACGUAACGGGACGAGAAGCUGCUGAUGGUGUAUUUGACGGAGAAGCAGCUCGUAGAAGUCCACUCACUAAGGUCUCCAAGAGCCUCAGUGGACUUGAAGGAGCAGGUGUGCCUGAGGAACACACUUGCCACAGAAACCUCCACAGCGCCCGUAGACCCUUGUUCCGUCCUAUAGGGGAGAGAGGAGAAUGUGGGCGGACACUUAACGCUUUCUUACCUCCGAUCUGUGCACCUUGACUGAGACGUAGUUGCCCUGAGACGACCACUUGGUGGUCUCGGCCACCCGGAGGCCGGUCCCCAUCAGAUUGAUGCUGAACUGGCCCUGAGAGUGUCACAAAAUGUGGUUUGUACACGUACA